Molecule: non-coding RNA, 72 nt
Organism: Picea glauca (white spruce)
Lineage: Eukaryota; Viridiplantae; Streptophyta; Pinopsida; Pinales; Pinaceae
Source: Rfam
GUCGUUGUAGUAUAGUGGUAAGUAUUCCUUCCUGUCACGUGGGUGACCCGGGUUCGAUCCUCGACAAUCACG